CGGCGGCGGCAGCAACGGCGGCGGCGGCGGCAGCCUGAGUGAAGUCAGCGGAACCUCUGUGAGCCGCCGGGGUUCGACGGGUAACUGAGGACGGAGAGAGACGAGGGAAAUACGGUGGAAACCAGCCGGUUCCAGAGAAGAAGAAUCAGUUAUCAGACGGUCGGUCGAGGACAAAUUCAACCCACACACAGUUUAACCUCGGAGCUCCGACGCAGCUCAACUGUUGGACCAUUGUUUCUUUAUUUAAUCAGAACUAUUCUAAUAUGAAAGUAAUUAAAUCAGCUCUGAGUGACUCCACCCGCUCUGUAACAGCUGGCUUCAUCACAGUUAAUAUUAAAAUAUAAAGACACUGAAUAACAUCAGUUAUCACAGUAACAGUGACAGUGACCAGAGUUACAGUCGGCUAACAACUCUAAUGAAUGAUAAAUGUCCUCCAGUGAUGUCAGAUGAGUCGUCUCUGUUGCAGGAUACAUUAGCCGCAACUAGCAUAACAAACCGGUUCAAGAGCACCUGAGACUUAAACGUCUCUUUGUCAACCUGACGGCUGCUUCUUCUCAGCAACAGCAGCUAAGGUUUAUGGGUAAUGUAGUAUUAAACAAUGAAUCCUAACAUGUAAUGUGGCCACUUCCUAUUUAUAUUUACAUAAAGAUAAUAAAAACAAACAUGAACAGUUCAGUUUAACUGUCGGUCUAUUCUCUGUCUAAUAAACAGUAUUAAUAUAAUAACUAUAUAAUAAUAACUAUAUAUCAGCAUCAUCUCUCUGUGUUCUCCUGUGAGCGAACUCACACAUUCAUGGUAGGAUCAUAUCGGGUUCUGAUCCAAUAAGAGACAGAGCUCGGGCGGGUCUUUGCCUCUGAUUGGCUGUGGUCCUGUUCACCGCGCUAAGUUGCGUGUGUUUAAAAAUUGCGCGUGACCUGAGCGCGAGAGUAGCUGACUAACUGAAACGGAAAAAUAAAAUAAACGCGACAAAACGAGGGAAAAUGAAGAGAGGCAGAAAUAUUGAAAGUUUUUUCAUUAAGAAAACCAAACCUACAACCAGCCCUACGACUAUAAUCCCAUCCAUCCCCACUACUGAGAGUCCAUCCCGUCAAGACACGGGGCCCUCGGUCCCUGGUGAGAUACCGAGCCCCGGUCCUUCAGCGACAGCAUCAGACUCGGAACCAGAGGAGACAACCGAGUCUGGGAUAGAGCCCGGCUCCGAGACCCAAAUUAAAAAGGUCAACAUAUAUUCCUUCAGACAGGACUGGCUGAAACAAGUUCCCUGGCUGAGGAACAACAAAGGACGUAAUGCAAUGCACUGCGUGUACUGUCAGGAGUGCGGUCAGAAUAUGAUUGGAAAUAGUGCAUUCAUGAGCGGGUCAACAACGUUUCAUAUCGAAACUUUAAAAAAACAUAACGUGUCUAAAAAACACACAAUAUGCCGUGACGAGUGUGUAGAGAAAGUGGCCCCAGUUUGAAAUUUAGUUUCAGUGAAGCACUUUAAACACUUUAUUUUUCUUUUUAUAUAUAAUUGUGCUUCAAAUAAAGACAAGCAUUUCUCUACACCUUAUUCUUGUUUAAAAAUCAUUCACAUUAUAUGAAAGUUAUGGAGAGCAAUAAAAAGGUGACCUUAUGGCGUUAAAGGCGACGCAAUGAAAAAUUUGGGUGCACCUAAAAAAAAAAAGUUAGGCACACCAGUGCAACCAAUGCAAAAAGUUAGUCUAGAGCCCUGAUAUAUAUAUAUAUAUAUAUAUAAAUAAAAUAACUAUAUAUUAUAUAGUUACAGCUGAUCUACUCGGAUUCGACCUUCCAGCAGUGAAAUUAAACAUCUGGACUGUUUCUGGGCGCGUGGCUCCGCUGAUAAAGGUCACAUUAAAUAGUCAGAUUUCUGAAUGGACUUUACAGUGAGACAGUAACUGAGCUGGAGAGAGAGACAGACACAGAGAGAGAGACAGACAGACAGAGAGAGACAGAGAGGGAGAGAGAGACACACAGAGAGAGAGAGAGACACAGAGAGAGAGAGAGAGAGACACAGAGAGAGAGACAGACACAGAGAGAGAGAGACAGACAGACAGAGAGAGAGACAGACAGAGAGAGAGACAGAGAGACAGAGAGAGACAGACAGAGAGAGAGACAGAGAGAGACAUAGAGAGACAGAGAGAGAGACAGAGAGGGAGAGAGAGACAGACAGACAGAGAGAGACAGAGAGAGAGAGAGAGAGAGAGGAUAGCUGCUGCUUUAGUUUCAGUCUGCUCAGUCUAACAGGUUAUAAAGAGUCUCAGUUGAACACAGAGAGCAGCUCAGAUGUUUCUAUAGUUACUAUAAAGCUCAUAAAGCUACGAUAUUAAAUAUAUAUAAAACAUCAUAUUACCACUAUAAUAUGAUUCAUGAUUAUUGUAGGAUGGAUAAUUUCUGCAUCACAAAUUUAAAAAUAAAACAUUUUGUUGGUUUGAACCAAACAAACAUGUUUUCUUACAUCUGAAGAAGAUUUGUAGUUUGUGCUUUUCUAAAGAAAUCUAAUAAUUAUAAUGAAGUUUGUCUCACAGCUUUAAUAAAACACAUUAACAGAGCGGGGACUCUCUCUGGUAACAACACCUGAAGGCCUCGGCAUAAAACUAAUAAAACAUUUGUUAGAAAACUGACCCAGUGAUCAGUUGGUAUUAUAAAUAUAAUAUUAUUAUUUAAUUUAAAGCUCCAGUGUUUGAUAAUCCUGUAAUAUAACACGAGGAAUAUAUUAAUAAUAAUAAUAAUAAUAAUAAUAAUAAUGUGUUUAUAUCUCUGCUGGAGGAGUCGGCCAUGUUGAAAUCCUUUAAUGUGCUUUAUUGUUUCAGUUUAUUCAGAUCCCUGUUUAUCCUUUUAUACAGAGCCUUUUUCACAGCAGCCUUUUUCACACGAAACAGUCGGGUAAACACAGUAAAUAAAAUAAUGAAGGCUGUGUUUUAUUUAGUGUAGCAGAGUCAACAUGAACUAUAUCAACACCUCGACCUUUAAACGGGUUUAAAUCCAGGAUGAAAACUUUAAAAGAUUUUUACUAUUUUCAUUUAUCUUCUUUUUUUUUUACAGUUUUAUCUUAAAUUUGAUAUAUUUUAUAUUUAUUGUGCUUUUUAAAAUCUCUAUCAUUUUAAAUAUAAAGUGCUGUUUCCAGUGUAUGAAAUUGAUUUCUAUUUAUUCAUUAUUCUUAUUAUAUUUUCUACACAUAUUGUUGUUAUAUUGUAAUAAGAAACAUUUUGAACGUUGUUAUUAUUAAUAUUUAUUUUGCUUUAAUGUCUCCUGAUCGACUGUAACUAAACAAAUUUACCCUCCGAGAUCAAUAAAGUAUUUCUGAUUGUGAAA
This is a long non-coding RNA of Dicentrarchus labrax (European seabass), 3312 nucleotides long. RefSeq lists it as uncharacterized. The record is from RefSeq and is a predicted model, not a curated record. The transcript has 2 exons. Lineage: Eukaryota; Metazoa; Chordata; Actinopteri; Moronidae.